RNAcentral lists this ribosomal RNA (505 nucleotides) under uncultured Eubacteriales bacterium. RNAcentral describes it as "bacterial SSU rRNA". It matches the Rfam family "Bacterial small subunit ribosomal RNA", at positions 352 to 870 of the family's 1533-position model. The record is from RNAcentral. Lineage: Bacteria; Bacillati; Bacillota; Clostridia; Eubacteriales.
CAGUAGGGAAUAUUGCGCAAUGGGGGAAACCCUGACGCAGCGACGCCGCGUGAGUGAUGAAGGCCUUCGGGUCGUAAAGCUCUGUCCUUAGGGAAGAAUCAAGUGACGGUACCUAAGGAGGAAGCCCCGGCUAACUACGUGCCAGCAGCCGCGGUAAUACGUAGGGGGCAAGCGUUGUCCGGAAUUAUUGGGCGUAAAGGGUGCGUAGGCGGCCUAUCAAGUCAGAUGUGAAAGAGUCCGGCUUAACCGGAAGAUUGCAUUUGAAACUGUUAGGCUUGAGUAUCGGAGAGGGCAGUGGAAUUUCCAGUGUAGCGGUGAAAUGCGUAGAUAUUGGAAGGAACACCAGUGGCGAAGGCGACUGCCUGGACGAAAACUGACGCUGAGGCACGAAAGCUAGGGGAGCAAACAGGAUUAGAUACCCUGGUAGUCCUAGCCGUAAACGAUGGGUACUAGGUGUAGGUGGUUUCGAUACUAUCUGUGCCGCAGUUAACGCAAUAAGUACCCC